Molecule: ribosomal RNA, 484 nt
Filed under: uncultured bacterium
Lineage: Bacteria
Description: partial 16S ribosomal RNA
Rfam family: Bacterial small subunit ribosomal RNA
Source: RNAcentral
AUUGGACGCUGGCGGCAGGCCUAACACAUGCAAGUCGAGCGGAUGAAGGGAGCUUGCUCCUGGAUUCAGCGGCGGACGGGUGAGUAAUGCCUAGGAAUCUGCCUGGUAGUGGGUGAUAACGUCCGGAAACGGGCGCUAAUACCGCAUACGUCCUGAGGGAGAAAGUGGGGGAUCUUCGGACCUCACGCUAUCAGAUGAGCCUAGGUCGGAUUAGCUAGUUGGUGGGGUAAAGGCCUACCAAGGCGACGAUCCGUAACUGGUCUGAGAGGAUGAUCAGUCACACUGGAACUGAGACACGGUCCAGACUCCUACGGGAGGCAGCAGUGGGGAAUAUUGGACAAUGGGCGAAAGCCUGAUCCAGCCAUGCCGCGUGUGUGAAGAAGGUCUUCGGAUUGUAAAGCACUUUAAGUUGGGAGGAAGGGCAGUAAGUUAAUACCUUGCUGUUUUGACGUUACCAACAGAAUAAGCACCGGCUAACUUCGUG